CUUCUGCUGGCCCUGCUGCUCUUUAGCUCCUGAGGAUUGCCUUCCUGUUUGACUGCUGCACUCUCAUUGGGUUGAGUAGAACUUCCUGUACUUGAGCCAUGUGCUCCCAGAAUGGCAACUCCUGGCCGGCUCACAGCUAUUCAGGAGCGUUCCCUCACCGACAGAAUGAAAUCCUUCAACCAGAAAGGCUCUCCAAAGGUCCUCGUAGGCUGUGUUUUGUGACUGUUUAUUCUCAGCAGCGGAGCAAGAUCCAUUUCAUGGAUGUGCCUCUUAAGGAGCAUAUUUCCCUUCUCCCUGGGAAGUGCAAUUACAAUAAUAAGCUGCAGGAGAGCAAGACCAACUUCUCAAACAGCAGGUCUUGUGAACGGCACAGCUCCUCCAUGAACCCUGGGAUGAGACCAGCGUGAGAGUGGAAAUGCCUCCUCCAUCAGACCAAGCACCUCCAGCUUCCCUACUCUGAUGUUCUGUGGUCAGCAGGGCUCAUGUCCAAGCAAGAUCCUGCAGGCAGUGAUCUAUCCCCCCCAUCAUGGACCAUGAGUGGAAGAGCUGGAGGCUGCCAGUCUGGCCUCAGUCCUCCACCCAGAGGAGCUGCUGCCACUAGAGCACCACAGCAGGAAUUUGAUGCUGUCUGAGAUCCUUGGAUGGCUGCGCUUUGGUUUAGCCUAGCAGGAGCCUCUCAGGGAAACAAGGAGAUAAACCACCACAAUAACAAUACUUCAGAGCUCUUAGAUGUGAAGAUUUUACCUUUUAUCUCCAUCCAAGUUAAAAAUAUUUUUGUUUUGCUGUCAGAUGAAGGGACCAUCAGCCCUUCCCAGGGGCUGAGGGCAGCUGGGAUGAGCUGGAUGCUCCAUGGCACAGCCCAGCUCUGCUGUGGGUCUCUUCUGACUGGAGGAGAGCGAUGUGGUUGGCUUUCAACUCUCUGAUGAUGAUGGAGAUGCCACCACAUCCCUCAGUGAAUUGUGUGAGCAGCUAACUACCCUCACAAUGAGCACUACAGGGUAUGCUUCUGGGUGAAAUUUCCAGCUCUGGUCUCCUCUGGACUUGUUAGAUGAAGCAGGCUUUCCCCAUCCCAUGUCAGCUGCCCACGCAGGUUUUUGUGGGCUGGACUGGAGCAAUCCAAAGCCUCUAAGGGUUCAGAGUUUUGUGCCUCUGUGUAAUUUCUUGUCUUGUCUAGCAUGCUCUUUUGCUCUACAGCCUCCCUUUGGAGGCCAGGCAGCAGCAGUAAGGUCCCAGGACUGCCUCCUGUUCUCCCCCUGCCCUGGGGUGGCAGUAGCCCUUUCAGCACGUGUGACAUGAGCUCAAGUUUAGCAUUUUGAUGCCAAAUUCAGCUGUGCCACAAAUGUUUCCUCUGAGGCUUCUGCAGAAGUGUCUGCCAAAGCAAAUUCCCAAAAUGUCUAUGGAUGAGUAUUUCUUGGAGCGUGUGAUUCAGAGAAGGAUACACAGAAAGACUUGAAGGAAACCUGGACUUGUCUAGAGCUGGUUUUAAUCCCUCCUCAGCACUCUGCUGCCUGCAUCCAGGAAUAUUAUUCAUGAGGCUUGAAGUAGUGCUUAAAAAGAAAGGUUGGCCAGAUUAAUUUUCUGAGCAUAGUGGCUGUCAUUAUUUCAUUUCUCUCUAUCAGCUUACUCAUUAUCUUGUAUUACCUGACUUACCUUUUUUAAGUGACCUCUCUAGAGUGUCCUGACAGAGCCUUGUCCCCAUCAUGUGGCAAACUGCAAUGUAUCUGGAGAAGUAGCUGCCAGUGACUCAUGAGUCCUUCAGCUCCCCCAGAACUCCUGCAUUUGAUUAACUCAAACUUGUUGCUGAAAUGAGCUGCUGAGAAGCCUCACUUCGUGCAGGGCAAAGCAGUGGAUGGCUGCACAUUGUCAUGCUGAUUUGGUGCCUGCUUCCAUGCCCAUUGAAGGAGAUGGACCAGACAGUCAAUGCAUCAUAAUUGUGCAGGGCUUUGUGUGCAUCCUCAUCCUGACUCCCAUUUUCUGUUGGGAUGGAGCAUUGCUGUGGUGUGAGAAGCCAGCAGGCAGCUGCUCCAAGCACCCAGAUGCCCUGAGAAGGGAGGAGCAGCAGCCGUGUUCUCAGCUGGUCCAGCUGGGUAAGGCAGUGUGUUAGGCAGGGCAUUUCUCUCCUGGCAAGGAGGAGCUGUGCAGUGCCCUGGGGAGAAGGUCAGGAAGAGGCUGUCACCCUGCUAUAAGGUGGCAGCAAUAGUCACUGGGAGGUUGUCAGCCCUCGUCAGGUUUUAACUUCCUCACCUGUGACCUGGCCCAAAGCACACCCACUGCAAGGGGAGUGCAAGGAGCGAGUUGUUGCUCGUGGGAUGGCUGCACUCCUCCACCAGACAUGUAGCCCUGCUUCUCCCCUGCUCUUGCUCUGCUUGUCCUUGGCUUCUUUCCAACCUGAUUGUCCUCCCUGAUGCAGAUUUGCGCAGGCACAGCUGCCCCAUGGGCAAGGGGUCCAUCACCACCUCAUGCUCUUGCCUGCUGCUGGGUGAGCACAGUCCCAGCUGUAUCUGUCCUCUGCCAUGGCACCCUGUGCUGCAAACCCUGCUGCUGUUCUUCCAUCUCCUCAGCUUUGCUGCCUGUCCAGUUCUGCUAUUGCUGAGCACUAGCAGAUCACACCUGAGAUGAGCUCUGGUCUGGUUGUUGUUUUCCCACUCCCCGUGGUGGGACCAGUGGGCUGGUUUCAACCCCUCUGGGCUUGGUGUGAGCUACUGGCCCAUCUCCUGUUGGAAAAGGACCAACCACCCAUCCCAUGUCCAGCUUUCCUCUGGGUUUCAGCCACAGGAGACACACAACUCCUCAGGCUGGCUGCCUGCUGGGGAAUCUGGUUCCCAGCAUCUUCCCCCUCCCUAACAUCUCUGUUUUGUCUGAUGCAGGCUCUGCUCAGCCUCAUGCCUGCACCCCACAGAGACCUUGCCUAGUUCAGCCUUUGGGAAGAUGCCCCAUGACAGGCCCCCAGUGACUCCUGAACCCAUACUGCCUUUUGUGACAGCCUCUUCUCUCAGGUGUUCAUGUAGUACUCAGCCUCCCUUUCACAGUCUCCUCUGCCUCCUCACUGCAGACAGGGUUGUUUUGGAACAUGGCUAGUGGGUAGUAGCUCAGGAUGGCACCGUGUGCAGGCUUGGGCAGCUCCUCAGCUCAGGGGUAUCACCUUGGCAAACCUCAACCCUCCCCUGUGCUCUGCACAGUACCAGGAGAAGUUCUGCUAGCAUUUGGCUCUCCCUAAAGAUUAGCAGUGGUCCUUCCAUCACCUUCCAGUUGAGGAGGUGAAAACAAGGAGGAAAAGCUCCUUACCAGUGCUGAUGGCUCCAGGUGGACCCUCCAGGAGGUUUUAAACCCUGCAAGGAGCAAUGAGGGGAGCCCUGCCAUGUCAGGAACAGUGGCAGAAGGUGGCUGCCAUGCCCAGGGAGGAGGGGUGAGCAGAGACGGCCCUUUUGGAGGCCUGACUUCAUCCCCUGAGGGCUCCCAGCCUUUUUUCCACUGCCGUUUUCUAGGCUUAGAAACGCCUGAGGAGGGAAACCCGGGGUGUCAGGUGAAGCUGUUCCGUGCCCCGCGUGGAUGAGCAGCAGAUCCAUCCUGCGGAUGCGUGGCACCGGCACCUGGCUGCGGCAGCAGAGGCUCCUCCAGCCCUGGAUGUGGCUGUGGUGGCUAACCCCCUCCUCUGUGCACCCCCAGCAGCCCCCUGGGGGGCUGCUGUGUUUGCUGCCCAGUCUGGGAGCUCCUGGGCACUGGCCCAUAGCUGGAAGGGAAAAGAAUUGCGUUCUCUGCUCUCCGCUCCCCGCAGAGCUGGACCCCUGCAGCUGGCUGAGGAGCUGCUCCAGCCUGGAGUCACUGCGGGGGGGAAGGGGCUGUUGGGCAGCAGGACUCUGGCUCGGUGAAGGUCUGAGGGAACAAGAGCUGCAGAGCAGAGUACUUGUGCUGUAUUUUGGUGGUGAUUGUCCUGGCUGCUGCAGGCGUCCGCGGGAGUCCAUCCCUGUGUCUUUAAAAUCCAGCCAAAGGCUUUUCCCCAGGAAUGUUGCUUCAGGUCUCUGCCAACCUGGAGCAGGCAGCAUUUUGGUUUCGUGUUGUGACCCUGGAAAGGUGGAGGAGACCUGGCUGGGGCAUGUUGUGCAAUAUGCCUGCCCAGCCCAGUCUGGGAACAAGGGAGGAUUGGGGCUUGUCACGGCAUGGGAAGGGUUUGGAGACGCCCACCAACCCCCUCCCAGGAGCUUCCAAAACAAGGAGCAGUUCUUUCAGACGUUUCUGUGGGGAAUUCUCUG
Pogoniulus pusillus (Red-fronted tinkerbird) is the source of this 4250-nucleotide long non-coding RNA. RefSeq lists it as uncharacterized. The record is from RefSeq and is a predicted model, not a curated record. Lineage: Eukaryota; Metazoa; Chordata; Aves; Piciformes; Lybiidae. The transcript is spliced from 2 exons.